AGAAUGUUUGAUUCUGGCUUAAAGUCUUUGUUAUAUUAUUAAGAUCGUAUGGAAAUUGUUAAUUAUAGGAGAUAAAAUAUUAAUUUUAUAUUAAUAUAAUAAAAUAAAUCUAAAUAAAUUUAUAAUAAUUAUCUAUAUUCUCAGCGUAGAAGUUUAGUAAAUAUAUGUAAAUAUGAGCUAGUAAAUAAUAAGUGUUUAAAUCUGAUAAAAUAUUUGUGCCAGCAUUCGCGGUUAGACUUUAAGGUUAAAUAAAGAAGUUAAUAUCUAAGUUACUUGUAUAAUGAAAUAUAAAAAUAUUAAUUUUCAAAUAUUAAUAAUAAUAAUAAUAAUAAUAAUAAUAAUAAUAAUAAUUUUAUUUCGCCAACACUGGGCAUAUGAGUACAGAGUACAGAUUAAUUAAUAGGUGAAAUUAUUGUUAUUUUGCAAAAUUUAAUGUAUUUUAAGGAGGCUUAUAAGCUUUAAAGAUAAACUAGGAUUAGAUACCCUAUUAUAUUAAAGUUUAAUAAUGAAUGUAGAAUUAUUAAUAGGUAUAACUUAAAAUUUUAAGAAUUUGGCGGUAAAAUAGUCUUGUCAGAGGAACCUGUUUAAGUUGAUCGAUACCCCUCGUAGUAUCUUACUUAUUUUAAGUUUGUAUACCAUCAUUAUUAGAUAAUUUUUAAAGAAUACAAUUAUUGAAAUUGAAUUAUUAAAAAAAUUAGAUCAAGGUGCAGCAUAUAAAUAAGUUUAAAUGGGUUACAAUAAAUUUUAUUUAGAUGAAUAAGGUUAGUAAGUAAAUCUAGGAAGGAGGAUUUGAUAGUAAUAUGAGUUUAAUAUGCUUAUAAGAUAAUAGCUCUAAAUUAUGUACAUAUCGCCCGUCGCUUUCAUUAAUUAAUGAGAUAAGUCGUAACAUAGUAGAUGUACUGGAAAGUGUAUCUAGAAUUU
RNAcentral lists this non-coding RNA (921 nucleotides) under Apotamonautes hainanensis. The record is from RNAcentral. Lineage: Eukaryota; Metazoa; Arthropoda; Malacostraca; Decapoda; Potamidae.